Molecule: ribosomal RNA, 2929 nt
Filed under: Escherichia coli
Lineage: Bacteria; Pseudomonadati; Pseudomonadota; Gammaproteobacteria; Enterobacterales; Enterobacteriaceae
Description: 23S ribosomal RNA
Rfam family: Bacterial large subunit ribosomal RNA
Source: RNAcentral
GGGUUGUGAGGUUAAGCGACUAAGCGUACACGGUGGAUGCCCUGGCAGUCAGAGGCGAUGAAGGACGUGCUAAUCUGCGAUAAGCGUCGGUAAGGUGAUAUGAACCGUUAUAACCGGCGAUUUCCGAAUGGGGAAACCCAGUGUGAUUCGUCACACUAUCAUUAACUGAAUCCAUAGGUUAAUGAGGCGAACCGGGGGAACUGAAACAUCUAAGUACCCCGAGGAAAAGAAAUCAACCGAGAUUCCCCCAGUAGCGGCGAGCGAACGGGGAGCAGCCCAGAGCCUGAAUCAGUGUGUGUGUUAGUGGAAGCGUCUGGAAAGGCGCGCGAUACAGGGUGACAGCCCCGUACACAAAAAUGCACAUACUGUGAGCUCGAUGAGUAGGGCGGGACACGUGGUAUCCUGUCUGAAUAUGGGGGGACCAUCCUCCAAGGCUAAAUACUCCUGACUGACCGAUAGUGAACCAGUACCGUGAGGGAAAGGCGAAAAGAACCCCGGCGAGGGGAGUGAAAAAGAACCUGAAACCGUGUACGUACAAGCAGUGGGAGCACGCUUAGGCGUGUGACUGCGUACCUUUUGUAUAAUGGGUCAGCGACUUAUAUUCUGUAGCAAGGUUAACCGAAUAGGGGAGCCGAAGGGAAACCGAGUCUUAACUGGGCGUUAAGUUGCAGGGUAUAGACCCGAAACCCGGUGAUCUAGCCAUGGGCAGGUUGAAGGUUGGGUAACACUAACUGGAGGACCGAACCGACUAAUGUUGAAAAAUUAGCGGAUGACUUGUGGCUGGGGGUGAAAGGCCAAUCAAACCGGGAGAUAGCUGGUUCUCCCCGAAAGCUAUUUAGGUAGCGCCUCGUGAAUUCAUCUCCGGGGGUAGAGCACUGUUUCGGCAAGGGGGUCAUCCCGACUUACCAACCCGAUGCAAACUGCGAAUACCGGAGAAUGUUAUCACGGGAGACACACGGCGGGUGCUAACGUCCGUCGUGAAGAGGGAAACAACCCAGACCGCCAGCUAAGGUCCCAAAGUCAUGGUUAAGUGGGAAACGAUGUGGGAAGGCCCAGACAGCCAGGAUGUUGGCUUAGAAGCAGCCAUCAUUUAAAGAAAGCGUAAUAGCUCACUGGUCGAGUCGGCCUGCGCGGAAGAUGUAACGGGGCUAAACCAUGCACCGAAGCUGCGGCAGCGACACUAUGUGUUGUUGGGUAGGGGAGCGUUCUGUAAGCCUGUGAAGGUGUGCUGUGAGGCAUGCUGGAGGUAUCAGAAGUGCGAAUGCUGACAUAAGUAACGAUAAAGCGGGUGAAAAGCCCGCUCGCCGGAAGACCAAGGGUUCCUGUCCAACGUUAAUCGGGGCAGGGUGAGUCGACCCCUAAGGCGAGGCCGAAAGGCGUAGUCGAUGGGAAACAGGUUAAUAUUCCUGUACUUGGUGUUACUGCGAAGGGGGGACGGAGAAGGCUAUGUUGGCCGGGCGACGGUUGUCCCGGUUUAAGCGUGUAGGCUGGUUUUCCAGGCAAAUCCGGAAAAUCAAGGCUGAGGCGUGAUGACGAAGCACUACGGUGCUGAAGCAACAAAUGCCCUGCUUCCAGGAAAAGCCUCUAAGCAUCAGGUAACAUCAAAUCGUACCCCAAACCGACACAGGUGGUCAGGUAGAGAAUACCAAGGCGCUUGAGAGAACUCGGGUGAAGGAACUAGGCAAAAUGGUGCCGUAACUUCGGGAGAAGGCACGCUGAUAUGUAGGUGAAGUCCCUUGCGGAUGGAGCUGAAAUCAGUCGAAGAUACCAGCUGGCUGCAACUGUUUAUUAAAAACACAGCACUGUGCAAACACGAAAGUGGACGUAUACGGUGUGACGCCUGCCCGGUGCCGGAAGGUUAAUUGAUGGGGUCAGCGCAAGCGAAGCUCUUGAUCGAAGCCCCGGUAAACGGCGGCCGUAACUAUAACGGUCCUAAGGUAGCGAAAUUCCUUGUCGGGUAAGUUCCGACCUGCACGAAUGGCGUAAUGAUGGCCAGGCUGUCUCCACCCGAGACUCAGUGAAAUUGAACUCGCUGUGAAGAUGCAGUGUACCCGCGGCAAGACGGAAAGACCCCGUGAACCUUUACUAUAGCUUGACACUGAACAUUGAGCCUUGAUGUGUAGGAUAGGUGGGAGGCUUGGAAGUGUGGACGCCAGUCUGCAUGGAGCCGACCUUGAAAUACCACCCUUUAAUGUUUGAUGUUCUAACGUUGACCCGUAAUCCGGGUUGCGGACAGUGUCUGGUGGGUAGUUUGACUGGGGCGGUCUCCUCCUAAAGAGUAACGGAGGAGCACGAAGGUUGGCUAAUCUUGGUCGGACAUCAGGAGGUUAGUGCAAUGGCAUAAGCCAGCUUGACUGCGAGCGUGACGGCGCGAGCAGGUGCGAAAGCAGGUCAUAGUGAUCCGGUGGUUCUGAAUGGAAGGGCCAUCGCUCAACGGAUAAAAGGUACUCCGGGGAUAACAGGCUGAUACCGCCCAAGAGUUCAUAUCGACGGCGGUGUUUGGCACCUCGAUGUCGGCUCAUCACAUCCUGGGGCUGAAGUAGGUCCCAAGGGUAUGGCUGUUCGCCAUUUAAAGUGGUACGCGAGCUGGGUUUAGAACGUCGUGAGACAGUUCGGUCCCUAUCUGCCGUGGGCGCUGGAGAACUGAGGGGGGCUGCUCCUAGUACGAGAGGACCGGAGUGGACGCAUCACUGGUGUUCGGGUUGUCAUGCCAAUGGCACUGCCCGGUAGCUAAAUGCGGAAGAGAUAAGUGCUGAAAGCAUCUAAGCACGAAACUUGCCCCGAGAUGAGUUCUCCCUGACCCUUUAAGGGUCCUGAAGGAACGUUGAAGACGACGACGUUGAUAGGCCGGGUGUGUAAGCGCAGCGAUGCGUUGAGCUAACCGGUACUAAUGAACCGUGAGGCUUAACCUUACAACGCCGAAGCUGUU